GGAGAAGUGGAUGAGCGGCUGAAAUCGCUUCCCUGCUAAGGAAGUAAACCGAAAGGUUUCGAGAGUUCAAAUCUCUCCUUCUCCG
RNAcentral lists this transfer RNA (85 nucleotides) under Aeromonas phage phiAS4. It matches the Rfam family "tRNA". From Rfam's summary of the family: Transfer RNA (tRNA) molecules are approximately 80 nucleotides in length. Their secondary structure includes four short double-helical elements and three loops (D, anti-codon, and T loops). The record is from Rfam by way of RNAcentral. Lineage: Duplodnaviria; Heunggongvirae; Uroviricota; Caudoviricetes; Pantevenvirales; Straboviridae.